Molecule: ribosomal RNA, 499 nt
Filed under: uncultured bacterium
Lineage: Bacteria
Description: partial 16S ribosomal RNA
Rfam family: Bacterial small subunit ribosomal RNA
Source: RNAcentral
GACGAACGCUGGCGGCGUGCCUAAUACAUACAAGUCGAGCGGACCAACCAGGAGCUUGCUCUUGUUUGUUUAGCGGCGGACGGGUGAGUAACACGUGGGUAACCUGCCCGUAAGACCGGGAUAACUCCGGGAAACCGGAGCUAAUACCGGAUAACACCGAAGACCGCAUGGUCUUUGGUUGAAAGGCGGCUUCGGCUGCCACUUAUGGAUGUGCCCGCGGCGCGUUAGCUAGUUGGUGAGGUAACGGCUCACCAAGGCGACGAUGCGUAGCCGGCCUGAGGGGGAGACUGGCCAAACUGGGACUGAGACACGGCCCAGACUCCUACGGGAGGCAGCAGUAGGGAAUCUUCCGCAAUUGACGAAAGUCUGACGGAGCGACGCCGCGUGAGCGAAGAAGGGCUUCGGAUCGUAAAGCUCUGUUGUUAGGGAAGAAGAAGCGCCGUUCGAACAGGGCGGCGCGGUGACGGUACCUAACGAGAAAGCCCCGGCUAACUACGUG